CAAUGGCAUAAGCUAGCUUGACUGCGAGAGUGACGGCUCGAGCAGGUACGAAAGUAGGUCAUAGUGAUCCGGUGGUUCUGAAUGGAAGGGCCAUCGCUCAACGGAUAAAAGGUACUCCGGGGAUAACAGGCUGAUACCGCCCAAGAGUUCAUAUCGACGGCGGUGUUUGGCACCUCGAUGUCGGCUCAUCACAUCCUGGGGCUGAAGUAGGUCCCAAGGGUAUGGCUGUUCGCCAUUUAAAGUGGUACGCGAGCUGGGUUUAGAACGUCGUGAGACAGUUCGGUCCCUAUCUGCCGUGGGCGUUGGAAGAUUGAGAGGGGCUGCUCCUAGUACGAGAGGACCGGAGUGGACGCAUCACUGGUGUUCGGGUUGUCAUGCCAAUGGCAUUGCCCGGUAGCUAAAUGCGGAAAAGAUAAGCGCUGAAAGCAUCUAAGCGCGAAACUUGCCUCGAGAUGAGUCUUCCCUGAGACCUUGAGUCUCCUAAAGGAACGUUUAAGACUAAGACGUUGAUAGGCUGGGUGUGUAAGCGUAGCGAUACGUUGAGCUAACCAGUACUAAUGAUCCGUGAGGCUUAACCUUACAACACCGAAGGUGUUU
RNAcentral lists this ribosomal RNA (597 nucleotides) under Hafnia alvei. Its description in RNAcentral is "partial 23S ribosomal RNA". It matches the Rfam family "Bacterial large subunit ribosomal RNA", at positions 2352 to 2925 of the family's 2925-position model. The record is from RNAcentral. Lineage: Bacteria; Pseudomonadati; Pseudomonadota; Gammaproteobacteria; Enterobacterales; Hafniaceae.